UUCCGUAGCGAACUGCGGAAGACAUAAUAAAUUUUCCAACGAUAGUUGUUGGAAUAAUAAUAAUCAUCCUACCUUUGUGAAUUGUGUUGAAUAAUUUUUUUUUAAAAAUUAUUAGAAUGUCUUUCCCUGAAAUGUGAGGAGCUGUAUGGUUGUUCACAAUUCAGGAUAGAUUUCUAGUAAUUUUUAGGAAGACUUUUUAAAUAAACUUUUGUAUUCAUUGUCUAAAUAAUUUUAAUAAUGAUUUAAAACAACUUUGACAAUGGAUCUUGGUUCUCGCAACGAUGAAGAACGCAGCAAAUGCGAUAAUAGUGUGAAUGCAGAUACGUGAAUCAUCGAAUCUUCGAACGCUAUUGCACUUUUUAGUUACUAAAAAGUAUGUCUGUUGAGUAUCAUAAAAUAUCUUCAUAAAAAAUUAUUUUUUAUGGUUUGAGUUUUACACGAUAAAGUUGUUCACUUUAAAUGAAUUUUUAAUGGAUUGAAAAUUCAAUUUUUAAAUUGGAUAAAAUUUUCCUUCUCAAGAAUAACCUAGACAAUUUAAAAAUAAAAUUCAACCCAAACAGAAAGGAAAUUUAAACAACUUGAUCUCAAAUCAGAUAAAGUACCGCUGAACUAAGCAUAUCAAUAGCGGAGGAAAGAACAACAAGGAUUCCCUAGUAACGGCGAGUGAAGCGGAAGAGCUCAAUUUGAAAUCUUAAAGGGUUCCCUUACGAUGUAGUUUAAAGAGUGUUUUCUGUUGAGUUUCGGUAAAAGUUCUUUGAAUAGGAAUCAUAGAGGUGAGAUCCGUAUUGACGUUACUUUCAGCUGUGUGAUACACUUUCAAAGAGUCGAUUGUUUGGGAAUGCAGUCCAAAAUGGGUGUAAAUUCAUCUAAAGCUAAAUAUUGGCGAGAGACCGAUAGCGAACAAGUACGUGAGGGAAGAUGAAAAGAACUUGAAAAGAGAGUUAAACAGUACGUGAAUGUCAAAGGAAGCGUUGACACAGUGUUGUUUAGUUGAAAAUCAUUCAAUAAUUUUGAUUUUAGUAGUAUUGACUUCAUCAGCUUGCUGCUUUCUUUCAGGAAUUAUUGAAUGCCUUUCAGUUAACAAGUCAACAUCAAUUCUUUGUUGUAAAGGGUAAGAGAAGGUGGCUACGCUUCGGCGUAAGUGUUUAUAGCCUUUUACCUCUGCAUCGGAGAGAUUGAGGACAGCAGCGUAGACUCUUCGGGUUAGAUCACUUGUGCUAAGCUAUAGCCUUGUAUAACAACUGUUGACUAUGCUCAGUCAUGUAGCUUACUCGCUUGUGCUAUUUACCUACGUAGGAU
RNAcentral lists this unclassified non-coding RNA (1299 nucleotides) under uncultured Neocallimastigales. RNAcentral describes it as "partial contains internal transcribed spacer 1, 5.8S ribosomal RNA, internal transcribed spacer 2, and large subunit ribosomal RNA". The stretch from base 580 to 1299 matches the Rfam family "Eukaryotic large subunit ribosomal RNA", at positions 1 to 630 of the family's 3401-position model. The record is from RNAcentral. Lineage: Eukaryota; Fungi; Neocallimastigomycota; Neocallimastigomycetes; Neocallimastigales.